RNAcentral lists this ribosomal RNA (511 nucleotides) under uncultured bacterium. Its description in RNAcentral is "bacterial SSU rRNA". It matches the Rfam family "Bacterial small subunit ribosomal RNA", at positions 29 to 525 of the family's 1533-position model. The record is from RNAcentral.
AGCGAACGUUAGCGGCGGGCUUAACACAUGCAAGUCGAGCGAGAAAGGGGCUUCGGCCCUGAGUACAGCGGCGGACGGGUGAAUAACACGUAGGUAACCUUCCUUCCAGCGGGGGACAACGGUCCGAAAGGACCGCUAAUACCGCAUACGUUCCCUGGGACCCUGGUCCCGGGGAGGAAAGCUCCGCAAGGGGCACUGGAUGAGGGGCCUGCGUAGCAUCAGCUAGUUGGUGGGGUAAUGGCCUACCAAGGCUAAGACGCUUAGCUGGUCUGAGAGGAUGAUCAGCCACACUGGGACUGAGACACGGCCCAGACUCCUACGGGAGGCAGCAGUGGGGAAUAUUGGACAAUGGGCGCAAGCCUGAUCCAGCAAUGCCGCGUGUGUGAAGAAGGCCUGCGGGUUGUAAAGCACUUUCAGUGGGGAAGAACAGGUUCGGGUCAAUACCCGGAGCCCUGACGUUACCCACACGAAGAAGCACCGGCUAACUCCGUAGCCAGCAGCCGCGGUAAUG